RNAcentral lists this ribosomal RNA (460 nucleotides) under uncultured bacterium. RNAcentral describes it as "partial 16S ribosomal RNA". It matches the Rfam family "Bacterial small subunit ribosomal RNA", at positions 338 to 795 of the family's 1533-position model. The record is from RNAcentral.
CCUACGGGGAGCAGCAGUGAGGAAUAUUGGUCAAUGGACGAGAGUCUGAACCAGCCAAGUAGCGUGAAGGAUGACUGCCCUAUGGUUUGUAAACUUCUUUUAUAUGGGAAUAAAAUGUUCCACGUGUGGGAUUUUGUAUGUACCAUAUGAAUAAGGAUCGGCUAACUCCGUGCCAGCAGCCGCGGUAAUACGGAGGAUCCGAGCGUUAUCCGGAUUUAUUGGGUUUAAAGGGAGCGUAGGUGGAUUGUUAAGUCAGUUGUGAAAGUUUGCGGCUCAACCGUAAAAUUGCAGUUGAAACUGGCAGUCUUGAGUACAGUAGAGGUGGGCGGAAGUCGUGGUGUAGCGGUGAAAUGCUUAGAGAUCACGAAGAACUCCGAUUGCGAAGGCAGUUCACUGGACUGCAACUGACACUGAGGCUCGAAAGUGUGGGUAUCAAACAGGAUUAGAUACCCGAGUAGUC